This 764-nucleotide long non-coding RNA is filed under the name Salmo salar (Atlantic salmon). RNAcentral's name for it is "lncRNA (ENSSSAG00000084169.1)". Lineage: Eukaryota; Metazoa; Chordata; Actinopteri; Salmoniformes; Salmonidae. The record is from RNAcentral.
GUGGAGACUGAUGUAUAGGCUACCGCUGUGUCUGUUUGUUAACAUGCAUAGAGCUGGUUUCCCAGAAUCCAUUGAACAUGCUUACUUAGUCCAAGACUAUAUCAGGAAUCAAGGACCUGAGCCCUAGGACCAUGCCUCAGGACUACCUGGCUUGAUGACUCCUUGCUGUCCCCAGUUCACCUGGCCGUGCUGCUGCUCCAUUUCCAACUGUUCUGCCUGCAGCUAUGGAACCCUGAACUAUUCACUGGAUGUGCUACCUGUCCCAGACCUGCUGUUUUCAACUCUCUAGAGACAGCAGGAGCGGUAGAGAUACUCUCAAAGAUCGGCUAUGAAAAAGCCAACUGACACUUACUCUUGUGUCACUGACUUGUUGCACCCUCGACAACUACUAUGAUUAUUAUUAUUUGACCAUGCUGGUCAUUUAUGAACAUUUGAACAUCUAGGCUAUGUGCUGUUAUAAUCUCCACCCGGCACAGCCAGAAGAGGACUGGCCACCCCUCAUAGCCUGGUUCCUCUCUAGGUUUCUUCCUGGGUUUUGGCCUUUCUAGGGAGUUUUUCCUAGCCACCGUGCUUCUACACCUGCAUUGCUUGCUGUUUGGGGUUUUAGGCUGGGUUUCUGUACAGCGCUUUGAGAUAUCAGCUGAUGUAAGAAGGGCUAUAUAAAUAAAUUUGAUUUGAUGAUUCUGUCAUCAUGAAGUUCUUUGAGAGACUAGUCAUGGACCAUAUCACCUCCACCCUACCUGAUAACCUAGACCCAAUCUAAU